RNAcentral lists this ribosomal RNA (253 nucleotides) under uncultured bacterium. RNAcentral's name for it is "partial 16S ribosomal RNA". It matches the Rfam family "Bacterial small subunit ribosomal RNA", at positions 524 to 776 of the family's 1533-position model. The record is from RNAcentral.
UACGGGGGGGGCAAGCGUUGUUCGGAAUUACUGGGCGUAAAGGGCGCGUAGGCGGCCUGCUAAGUCGGGCGUGAAAUCCCUCGGCUCAACCGGGGAACUGCGUCCGAUACUGGUGGGCUCGAAUCCGGGAGAGGGAUGUGGAAUUCCAGGUGUAGCGGUGAAAUGCGUAGAUAUCAGGAGGAACACCGAUGGCGAAGGCAGCUCGCUGGGACGGUACUGACGCUGAGGCGCGAAAGCGUGGGGAGCAAACAGG